AAUUGAAAGAUGGUUUCGGCUAUCACUUACAGAUGGGCCCGCGGUGCAUUAGCUAGUUGGUGAGGUAACGGCUCACCAAGGCAACGAUGCAUAGCCGACCUGAGAGGGUGAUCGGCCACACUGGGACUGAGACACGGCCCAGACUCCUACGGGAGGCAGCAGUAGGGAAUCUUCCGCAAUGGACGAAAGUCUGACGGAGCAACGCCGCGUGAGUGAUGAAGGCUUUCGGGUCGUAAAACUCUGUUGUUAGGGAAGAACAAGUACAAGAGUAACUGCUUGUACCUUGACGGUACCUAACCAGAAAGCCACGGCUAACUACGUGCCAGCAGCCGCGGUAAUACGUAGGUGGCAAGCGUUAUCCGGAAUUAUUGGGCGUAAAGCGCGCGCAGGCGGUUUCUUAAGUCUGAUGUGAAAGCCCACGGCUCAACCGUGGAGGGUCAUUGGAAACUGGGGAACUUGAGUGCAGAAGAGAAAAGCGGAAUUCCACGUGUAGCGGUGAAAUG
This 503-nucleotide ribosomal RNA is filed under the name Priestia megaterium. Its description in RNAcentral is "bacterial SSU rRNA". It matches the Rfam family "Bacterial small subunit ribosomal RNA", at positions 198 to 688 of the family's 1533-position model. The record is from RNAcentral. RNAcentral also lists the same sequence under 1 other name. Lineage: Bacteria; Bacillati; Bacillota; Bacilli; Caryophanales; Bacillaceae.